RNAcentral lists this unclassified non-coding RNA (244 nucleotides) under Hevea brasiliensis (rubber tree). The record is from RNAcentral. Lineage: Eukaryota; Viridiplantae; Streptophyta; Magnoliopsida; Malpighiales; Euphorbiaceae.
GAGAGAGAGAGUUACUUGCUCUCAAGUCGCUGCUCAUCUGGACUUACAGAUGCAUAACAUGCGCGGGGGGUGCGUAGAAUAAAAUACUUGAUCCAUCGUCAUUGAGAAGGGAAGGAAUAGUUUAGUAGGGCGAGUGAAAUUUGGCAAGCGGCUGAGAAAGCUUCCUUAUAGGACCACUUGCUUUUAACGGACAACAAUUAAAGCUGUUUCGAUAUUUCUCUCCCCACUCUCAUCUUUUAGCGCG